UAAGCGGAGGAAACCAACAGGGAUUGCCCUAGUAACGGCGAGUGAAGCGGCAACAGCUCAAAUUUGAAACCUGGCGCUUGCGUCCGGAUUGUAAUUUGCAGAGGAUGCUUCUGGGCAGCGGCCGGUCUAAGUUCCUUGGAAAAGGACGUCAUAGAGGGUGAGAACCCCGUAUGUGACCGGCGCGCACCCUCCACGUAGCUCCUUCGACGAGUCGAGUUGUUUGGGAAUGCAGCUCUAAAUGGGAGGUAAAUUUCUUCUAAAGCUAAAUAUUGGCCCGAGACCGAUAGCGCACAAGUAGAGUGAUCGAAAGAUGAAAAGCACUUUGGAAAGAGAGUUAAAAAGCACGUGAAAUUGUUGAAAGGGAAGCGCUUCCCACCAGACUCCGCGGCGGUGUUCCGCCGGUCUUCUGACCGGUCUACUCGCCGCCGUGGGGCCAGCAUCGUCUGGGGCCGCCGGAUAAGACCGCAGGAAUGUAGCUCAUUGAGUGUUAUAGCCUGCGGGGAUGCGGCGCGCCCCGGGCGAGGUCCGCGCUUCGGCAAGGAUGCUGGCGUAAUGGUGGGCAGCGGCCCGUCUUGAAACACGGACCAAGGAGUCUAACAUCUAUGCGAGUGUUCGGGUGUCAAACCCCUACGCGUAAUGAAAGUGAACGGAGGUGGGAGCUUCGGCGCACCAUCGACCGAUCCUGAUGUCCUCGGAUGGAUUUGAGUAAGAGCAUAGCUGUUGGGACCCGAAAGAUGGUGAACUAUGCCUGAAUAGGGUGAAGCCAGAGGAAACUCUGGUGGAGGCUCGCAGCGGUUCUGACGUGCAAAUCGAUCGUCAAAUUUGGGCAUAGGGGCGAAAGACUAAU
RNAcentral lists this ribosomal RNA (847 nucleotides) under Zasmidium fructigenum. Its description in RNAcentral is "eukaryotic LSU rRNA". It matches the Rfam family "Eukaryotic large subunit ribosomal RNA", at positions 47 to 935 of the family's 3401-position model. Lineage: Eukaryota; Fungi; Ascomycota; Dothideomycetes; Mycosphaerellales; Mycosphaerellaceae. The record is from RNAcentral.